RNAcentral lists this ribosomal RNA (292 nucleotides) under uncultured eukaryote. Its description in RNAcentral is "partial 18S ribosomal RNA". It matches the Rfam family "Eukaryotic small subunit ribosomal RNA", at positions 6 to 283 of the family's 1831-position model. The record is from RNAcentral.
GGUUGAUCCUGCCAGUAGUCAUAUGCUUGUCUCAAAGACUAAGCCAUGCAUGUGUAAGAAUAAGCAACCUUUAUUCUGUGAAUCUGCGUACAGCUCAUUAUAUCAGUAAUAAUUUAUUUGAAGGUAAAAAUACUACAUGGAUAACCGUAGUAAUUCUAGAGCUAAUACAUGCGGUAAAGUCCCAACUCUCACGGGAAGGGAUGUAUUUAUUAGUUAAAAAACCGAUGCGAGGCUCUGCCUCGGUUCCUGCAUUGGUGGAUCAUAGUAACUGUUCGAAUCGCGGGCUCUUUUG